Molecule: small RNA, 498 nt
Filed under: Lachnum sp. FC-2211
Lineage: Eukaryota; Fungi; Ascomycota; Leotiomycetes; Helotiales; Lachnaceae
Description: eukaryotic LSU rRNA
Rfam family: 5.8S ribosomal RNA (bases 186-339)
Source: RNAcentral
ACCUGCGGAAGGAUCAUUACAGAGUUCAUGCCGUCACGGGUAGAUCUCCCACCCUUGUGUAUUAUAACAAAAUGUUGCCUUGGCGGGCCGCGGCCCUGCCGCCUGGGGUUUGCCCCCGGCGUGCCCGCCAACGGACCCCUAAACUCUGUUUAUCGGUGUCGUCUGAGUACUAUAUAAUAAGUUAAAACUUUCAACAACGGAUCUCUUGGUUCUGGCAUCGAUGAAGAACGCAGCGAAAUGCGAUAAGUAAUGUGAAUUGCAGAAUUCAGUGAAUCAUCGAAUCUUUGAACGCACAUUGCGCCCCUUGGUAUUCCGAGGGGCAUGCCUGUUCGAGCGUCAUUAUGACCAAUCUAGCCUGGCUAGGUGUUGGGCCUCGCGGUUCCGCGGGCCUUAAAACCAGUGGCGGUGCCCUCUGGCUCUACGCGUAGUAACUUUUCUCGCUAUGGAGCCCCGAGGGAUGCUUGCCAGCAACCUUUAUUUUUUAGGUUGACCUCGGAU